UACGUAGGGAGCAAGCGUUGUUCGGAUUUACUGGGCGUAAAGGGCGCGUAGGCGGUCAGCACAAGUCAGUUGUGAAAUCUCCGGGCUUAACCCGGAAAGGUCAACUGAUACUGUGCGACUAGAGUGCGGAAGGGGCAACUGGAAUUCUCGGUGUAGCGGUGAAAUGCGUAGAUAUCGAGAGGAACACCUGCGGCGAAGGCGGGUUGCUGGGCCGACACUGACGCUGAUGCGCGAAAGCCAGGGGAGCGAACGGG
RNAcentral lists this ribosomal RNA (254 nucleotides) under uncultured bacterium. RNAcentral describes it as "partial 16S ribosomal RNA". It matches the Rfam family "Bacterial small subunit ribosomal RNA", at positions 524 to 776 of the family's 1533-position model. The record is from RNAcentral.